RNAcentral lists this long non-coding RNA (4644 nucleotides) under Equus asinus (donkey). Its description in RNAcentral is "lncRNA (ENSEASG00005037934.1)". Lineage: Eukaryota; Metazoa; Chordata; Mammalia; Perissodactyla; Equidae. The record is from RNAcentral.
GCUUCCUGCCCCAGCGCCAACACCAACUUCCCUUCCAGUGGGUGGGUGUCUGGGGCCACAGCGCCUACUAGGUAUUUUCCAUCCCUUUCCUGGUAACAAGCCUGUUCAUUGGCUGAGAAGAGGAAUGGAAUUGGGAGACAUAUGACAAAGAGAUCAGACAGAGCCGUGUUUCUCAAGAUGGGGCUACCUAAACGGCCCUGGAAACAGGCCCCGGUGACGCUUAGAGUUUUCAAACCACUGCCGAACAGCAGCCGGGAAACUGGUUCCUGCCAUGCUGGCGUGUUGGGGAAAGUCCCGCAGCGACCACGGAGACUGCAGACUCGGGAGGGCGGGGUGGGCAGAGGCCUCCUAAGGGGCCGUCGUUGCCCGGGCGAUUUCUCACGCCGGGCGAGGCCGUGCUUCCUUACGAACGACUCUUCGGACUCUGCAAAGGCAAUGCGAUUGCCCCAUUUUCAGAGCUGGGAGAACCGGGGCUUUUGCAACACCCGGGACAAGCCUGUGCAUCUCCUCUUGAGCCCUGGGAAUGCCACCGGGAGCAGCCCCCCUUGGUGAUGUCCAACCCCCUGCAGUCAUAGGAAGGAACAAGCCCUGUAACUGCUCCAAAGGCGGGAAAUCUUUCAAACAAAGCCAUUUUUGUAACUCGGGAAUUCCUGACCCCUCCUAGUUUCUUUGGACCUGGAUCACAACCCUGCAAGAGGGAAGGGAAGAAAGAACCAGCCUGUCCUCGGCCUCUGUGCUGGAGAGGAAGCUGGCUGUGCCAUCGCCUGGGCCUCCCAGAGCCGGACGGAGGGUCAGGCUCGCUCGCCACACGGUAGCAUCAGCUCUGCCCGGCCUCCAUUUUCUCAUUUAUAAAAUGAGGAAAUAUCUCCCGUGACCAGUUGUGAAGAUGAAAUAUGCACAUGCGUGGAAAACACGGAGCUCGGUGCCUGGCACAUGGAGGUGAUCCAUUAAAAAGGUGGCAGAACCUGCAGACUGUGCCCCUGACACGGCUGGGACAUCCAGGCCCACCAGUGGGUGUGGCCUAGAUGUUGCCUUUUCUCUUCUUUUCCUUUGGAGAAAAUAAUCUAAAGAAAAAUGCUACAGGGGCCCGCCCGGUGGUGCAGCAGUUAAGUCUGCAGGUUCCACUUCAGCGGCUCGGGGUUGGUGGGUUUGGAUUCCGGUGCGGACAUGGCACCGCUUGGCAAGCCAUGCUGUGGCAGGCAUCCCACAUACAAAGUAGAGGAAGAUGAGCAUGGAUGUUAGCUCAGGGCCAGUCUUCUUCAGCAAAAAAAAGAAAGAAAAGUGCUACAGAAAGAGAUUGCCUUGCUGUGGCUCUCAGAGACACACACACAUUCUCUCACGCGCGCACACACACACACACACACACAAACACAACUGCUGGCACACAAGGGCUGUGCCACACCCGGGCAGUCUUGGGUGAUCCCAGCUGCUUCUGACUCACUCGCUGCCCUCAGGGCUGGUGACUCAUUCGAGGAAAGUCCUCGGCAGGGAGGCCGGUGGAGAGUGUGCGUCUCUGUGCCUGGGCAUUCCUGUGGAAGGGAUGGCGUGGUCAGAGAAGGAUGAGAUUUUGCCGAUCCCCUGAGACAGCCUGGUAGGGGAGGCUUUGAAAAGUAUAAAGAGCUGUGUUUGCUCAGGUUGAAAAACUGGACCUUGUCCAGUGGCGGCGGCAGUAAUCAUUGUGUGCAUCUGCAAAUAAAGUUAAGCAGCUGAUGACAGCAACAGGCCUUUGUGAGCUGAGUCUGGUGUGCACAGAGGCCCUGGGAGGCUGGUGAAUCUGAGGCCAGGGCUGCACGGAAGAGGGUGUUGCCUGCCGGGCAGGGGAGAGGCGGUCCAGGGUGAGCCACAGGGCCCUCCUGCCCCAGGGCUCCUGGAAGGUUCUGAUUUGACUGCCCUGAGAGGUCUGGGCCGCCCAGUACUCUGUUGCUUAGAGGACUCAGGAAGGGAACCUCGGCCAUCUGCCUGGAGGAGGCGCUUCCCCCGGGGAUGAACAGUCCUGGAGGAGACUGGCAGAGAUGUCUGUACUCCUGGCUGCUAUGCCUCACUGAGCAGGUGGACAAGCUGUCGCCCAAGAAUCCAGAGCCAGAAGAAAUUGGGGUGGGCCCAAAAGAAAUCGGACGGUGAAACAAAUUCACAGCUUCCAGGAAAGGCUGUCUCUUUCCUCUGUUCUCAAUAGUGAUGAUUUCCUAAAACCCUUGCCCCAGAAACCUACCAGCUAGAAAUGAAUGCCUGUGUCUCCCAUUUCAUCCAAGGGUAGAAAAAGCGGAGCCUGGUGGCGGCCAGUGGUACCUGUCCGUCAGGCAGCGUGCCCAGACUUGAAACUGGAGAUGGAGGAUGUCAAAGGAAAACACAUCGAGACUUAGAUGGAGAAGGGUUAAUUAGAAAGAAAGAUUAGUGCAAUAGAGAGAACAGUCUGAUCUCUGACGCCUGCAAGUGUCUCGAAAUCAAGCAGAAAAGGAGUUCUCUCUUAUGGGGUAAGGGAGGGGCAGGCCGCGAUAAAGCGAAUCUCUGGAAGGGAAGCUGGACAAACACGGGGAACUGACUGGGGCUCGGACAGGAAAAGCUCCAGCUGUAAUCAGCCGCCUCCCAGGAGAAGCUGAGGAAGGGGGCACAUUCCACUUUUAUUGUGUUUGCUCAGACUUGGAGGCAAGCGGAGUUCAAAGUCCUGUAGGAAAGAAAGAAACCCGACUAAAGUUUGGAAAAGCAAAGCAGAGUGUAAGAAUUGGGCACUGAAUGCUUAGUCGAGGACGAGACUAGGUUGGGGAGGGGAGGACAAUAUUGGUGAAUUCAAAACCAAACCCAAAAUGUAGGCUGAUUCCAUAGAAAUGGGGCGGCUGCUGACUGCACUCCUUGGUAUGUCAACCUGCAAAAACAGAAAGCAGUUCAGUUAUAACUCCUAUGAAAGUGUUCAUAAAGGCAUAAACUUAACAGACUUCUGUAGAAACUUUUCUUUUAGGCACCUCUCAAAUCUUAACUUUUCUUUUUCUUUGUUUUUUUUUAAGGAAGAUUAGCCCUGAACUAACAUCUGCCGCCAAUCCUCCUCUUUUUGCUGAGGAAGACUGGCCCUGAGCUAACAUCUGAUGAGGAUUUUUAGGCUGGCUACUUUUAAAACUGCAGAUGAGAAGCAGGCUCCAAGGAGCAGAGUUUGCUUGCCCUUUGUUGGGAGGCAUUUACAUUUGUCGGGGAAACCCUCAUCUGUAAAGAUGCCUCCCUCUCUGUGCCAGGAAGAAGGGAGAUGACCUCAUCUCUAGAAACUCUUAAUCAAUGCCAAAGGAAAGAACUUAAGUUGUUUACUGUCUGGCAACCUCAUGUAACUGACCCCCCCCCCUUUGUCUUUAGCUGAAGGUAAUAUUUAAGCGGUGACUUCUGCCCUUUACUUAAUCCAGUUUGAUUCUUAUCUAAAAGUUAUAGGACCACCCAAUAACCAGAACCCUACCAGCACCAAAACCAUUUUAACAACUCUUUUUACAUAUUCUUUCCUUUGUCUUGUAAAGAAAUAACUCACAUACCUAUGCCUUAAAUUUAGCCUUAUUCUUCACCCAUGUUUGCAGCAGCAGCAGCUCCCCAUGCCAGCAGCAUCUCUGACUGCCCGUGGGUCCUGUCCCCACGCAGCAGCUCUGACUGCCCAUGGGUCCUGUCCCCAUGCAGCAACAGCUCUUUACUGUCCAUGGGUCCUGUCCCCAUUGCUAUUCCACACUAUUCUCUAAAUAAAAGAGCACUACUGCCAGAACUUGAGAGUCCAAGAAAUCUUUCUUUCGACUCCUCGGCUCACCGACCCCGCAUCACAUCCAUGCCCAUCUUCCCUACUUUAUAUGUGGGACGCCUGCCACAGCAUGGUUUGACAAACAGUGCCAUGUCUGCACCUGGGAUCCAAACCCAAGAACUCUGGGCCGCCGAACCAGAAUGUGUGAACUUAACCACUGUGCCACCAGGCCAGCCCCUCAAAUUUAAUUUUUCAUUAGCUUUUUGCAAUGAAACUUUCAAUAUGGCUAUUUUGGAAUUUUGAAGCCUUUGCUUUCAAAUGCACUUCUUAAAUGCUCUUCUCUAAUUGGAAUGUCCCUUCUAAUGGCCAAUGUAAUUCCCCUGAUGCUGGCUGCAGUUUGGCAGGACCCUAGCCACAAAUGGGCUGUCACCCACAUUGCUGUUGUAGGGGAGAAAGACAUUUUCUCUUAAACUGUAGGGGAGGAAGACAUUUCCUCUUCCCAAAUGUGGGUUCGUCUGGCCGGAGAACGAAUUAAAUUCACAUGAGACAGAAUAGCAAGAGAAAAUUAAACAAAGCUUUAUGAGGAACCAUGGCCCGGGGCCUUUCUUCCCAAAGGAAGAAAGGGCACCGAAGAAGUGGGGUGCACAUAGUGGUUAUAUACCCCCAAACAGGGUGUUUCACAUGUGAUUGAAAUGUCCCUCUCACAAUAGUCAGAAGAUUGCCCUGUCGGCACAGUGCUUGAUGGACACAGCAGGUAAUGGUCUGCUAUCUCUGUGGGUGUCGCAGGAGGCAAGUCUAUUGUCUGGAGCUGGGCGGCCACAGGUGAGCACAGCAAUCAGUUCCUUCCCUAAGGAAAGAUGCUUAAUCCUUAAAGAAAUGCCAGCGUUGGGAGGGGGAGGGAAGUCAGUUACAGGAGGUUACCAGACUAGCACAAUAAAAUGAAG